AGAGUUUGAUCCUGGCUCAGAUUGAACGCUGGCGGCAGGCCUAACACAUGCAAGUCGAGCGGUAGAGAGAAGCUUGCUUCUCGUUGAGAGCGGCGGACGGGUGAGUAAUACCUAGGAAUCUGCCUGAUAGUGGGGAUAACGUUCGGAAACGGACGCUAAUACCGCAUACGUCCUACGGGAGAAAGCAGGGGACCUUCGGGCCUUGCGCUAUAAGAUGAGCCUAGGUCGGAUUAGCUAGUUGGUGAGGUAAUGGCUCACCAAGGCUACGAUCCGUAACUGGUCUGAGAGGAUGAUCAGUCACACUGGAACUGAGACACGGUCCAGACUCCUACGGGAGGCAGCAGUGGGGAAUAUUGGACAAUGGGCGAAAGCCUGAUCCAGCCAUGCCGCGUGUGUGAAGAAGGUCUUCGGAUUGUAAAGCACUUUAAGUUGGGAGGAAGGGCAUUAACCUAAUACGUUAGUGUCUUGACGUUACCGACAGAAUAAGCACCGGCUAACUCCGUG
RNAcentral lists this ribosomal RNA (504 nucleotides) under uncultured bacterium. Its description in RNAcentral is "bacterial SSU rRNA". It matches the Rfam family "Bacterial small subunit ribosomal RNA", at positions 8 to 507 of the family's 1533-position model. The record is from RNAcentral.